Small nucleolar RNA from Neogale vison (American mink), 128 nucleotides. The record is from Ensembl. NCBI's taxonomy places the organism in Eukaryota, Metazoa, Chordata, Mammalia, Carnivora, Mustelidae.
GGCUUCUGACAGUUCUGGAGCAGUUAUGUCUGCUGCUGAGAUUUCUACCACAGAUGCAAGAACAAAGCGUUCUCAUACUUUCUACCUGUCUGAUUGUGGCAGCCAAGCCUGAAUGGGAGAAUACAGAG